This 1688-nucleotide ribosomal RNA is filed under the name metagenome. RNAcentral describes it as "bacterial LSU rRNA". It matches the Rfam family "Bacterial large subunit ribosomal RNA", at positions 1168 to 2925 of the family's 2925-position model. The record is from RNAcentral.
AAAUGUACCGGGGCUCAAGCAUGGCACCGAAGCCGGGGACCUACCCAGCAAUGGGUAGCGUGGUAGGGGAGCGUCCUGCACGGGGUGAAGGCAGCGGGACAACCGUUGUUGGACUGUGCAGGAGUGAGAAUGCUGGCAUGAGUAGCGAGAAACAUGUGAGAACCAUGUUCGCCGAAAAUCUAAGGUUUCCGACGGAAGGUCAGUCCGCGUCGGGUUAGUCGGGCCUAAGCCGAGGCUGGGAAGCGUAGGCGAUGGACAACCGGUUAAUAUUCCGGUACCGAUUGGUGGAUGGUGCGCGAUGCACCCGAGGAAAGCUCAGCCUCUGAGUGGAUUGAGGUGGCAAGCGGUUAAUGACCGCGAUGCCGGGCCGCAAGGCCGGAAGUGAGUGGCACCCCGGGUCGAGAAAAGCCGCGCAUCGGUAAAAUCAGUCGCCCGUACCAUAAACCGACACAGGUAGAUGCGUAGAGAAUACGAAGGCGAACGGGAGAACGCGCGCUAAGGAACUCGGCAAAAUGGCCCCGUAACUUCGGGAGAAGGGGCGCCGGUGAAAGCCGGCCGCAGUAAAGUGGCUCUACCGACUGUUUACCAAAAACACAGGUCUGUGCAAACGCGCAAGCGGACGUAUACGGGCUGACGCCUGCCCAGUGCCGGAAGGUUAAGAGGAGGGGUUAACGCUCUGAAUUGAAGCCCCGGUGAACGGCGGCCGUAACUAUAACGGUCCUAAGGUAGCGAAAUUCCUUGUCGGGUAAGAUCCGACCCGCACGAAAGGCGUAACGAGUGGAGCACUGUCUCAGCGCGCGACCCGGCGAAAUUGAAGUACGUGUGAAGAUGCGCGUUACCCGCAGCAGGACAAAAAGACCCCAUGGAGCUUUACUGUAGUUUGUCAUUGCGUUCGGACGGCACUUGUGUAGGAUAGCUGGGAGGCUAUGAAGCGAGGGCGCUAGCUUUCGUGGAGCCGACGGUGAAAUACCAGCCUGGUGGCGUCUUGGCCCUAACCUAAAGUUGUGAAGCCAACAUAGGGACAGUGGCAGAUGGGCAGUUUGACUGGGGCGGUCGCCUCCUAAAGAGUAACGGAGGCGUUCAAAGGUGGGCUCAGGCUGAAUGGAAACCAGCCGUUGAGUGCAAAGGCACAAGCCUGCUUGACUGCAAGGCCAACGCGCCGAGCAGAGACGAAAGUCGGACUUAGUGAUCCUACGGUGCCGAUUGGAAGGGCCGUAGCUUACCGGAUAAAAGCUACCCUGGGGAUAACAGGCUAGUCUUGCCCAAGAGUUCACAUCGACGGCAAGGCUCGGCACCUCGAUGUCGGCUCAUCGCAUCCUGGGGCUGGAUAAGGUCCCAAGGGUUGGGCUGUUCGCCCAUUAAAGCGGUACGUGAGCUGGGUUCAGACCGUCGUGAGACAGGUCGGUCUCUAUCCGCUGUGGGCGUAAGGUGUUUGAGAGGGUCUGCCCCUAGUACGAGAGGACCGGGGUGGACGGAGCGCUCGUGUGCCGGUUGUGUCGCCAGAUGCAGCGCCGGGUAGCGAUCUCCGGAGAGGAUAACCGCUGAAAGCAUCUAAGUGGGAAGCCAGCCUCAAGAUGAGACACCUCACUGGGAAACCAGGUAAGAUCGCUGGGAGACGACCAGCUGGAUAGGCCGGACGUGGAAGGGCAGUAAUGUCUGCAGCGAACCGGUACUAAUGAUCGAGGGCU